Molecule: ribosomal RNA, 369 nt
Filed under: uncultured bacterium
Lineage: Bacteria
Description: bacterial SSU rRNA
Rfam family: Bacterial small subunit ribosomal RNA
Source: RNAcentral
ACGGAGGGUGCAAGCGUUAUCCGGAUUUAUUGGGUUUAAAGGGUGCGUAGGCGGCUAUUUAAGUCAGUGGUGAAAUCCUGCAGCUCAACUGUAGAACAGCCAUUGAAACUGAAUAGCUUGAGUGAUCUUGAGGUAGGCGGAAUGUGUAGUGUAGCGGUGAAAUGCUUAGAUAUUACACAGAACACCGAUUGCGAAGGCAGCUUACCAAGGGUUUACUGACGCUGAUGCACGAAAGCGUGGGGAUCAAACAGGAUUAGAUACCCUGGUAGUCCACGCCGUAAACGAUGAUAACUCGCUGUUGGCGAUACACAGUCAGCGGCUUAGCGAAAGCGUUAAGUUAUCCACCUGGGGAGUACGCUCGCAAGAGUG